Molecule: transfer RNA, 77 nt
Filed under: candidate division WWE3 bacterium
Lineage: Bacteria; candidate division WWE3
Description: tRNA-Gly
Rfam family: tRNA
About the family: Transfer RNA (tRNA) molecules are approximately 80 nucleotides in length. Their secondary structure includes four short double-helical elements and three loops (D, anti-codon, and T loops).
Source: RNAcentral
GCGAGAGUAGCUCAGCUGGCUAGAGCAUCUCCCUUCCAAGGAGAGGGUCGCGGGUUCGAAUCCCGUCUCUCGCUCCA